GGGCCCGCACAAGCGGCGGAGCAUGCGGAUUAAUUCGAUGCAACGCGAAGAACCUUACCAAGGCUUGACAUAUAGAGGAAAAGUGCAGAAAUGCACUCCCCGCAAGGUCUCUAUACAGGUGGUGCAUGGUUGUCGUCAGCUCGUGUCGUGAGAUGUUGGGUUAAGUCCCGCAACGAGCGCAACCCUCGUCCUAUGUUGCCAGCACGUAAUGGUGGGAACUCAUGGGAUACUGCCGGGGUCAACUCGGAGGAAGGUGGGGAUGACGUCAAAUCAUCAUGCCCCUUAUGUCUUGGGCUUCACGCAUGCUACAAUGGCCGGUACAGAGGGCUGCAAUACCGCAAGGUGGAGCG
This 350-nucleotide ribosomal RNA is filed under the name uncultured bacterium. RNAcentral describes it as "bacterial SSU rRNA". It matches the Rfam family "Bacterial small subunit ribosomal RNA", at positions 917 to 1269 of the family's 1533-position model. The record is from RNAcentral.